UGGCGAACGGGUGAGUAACACGUGGGUGAUCUGCCCUGCACUCUGGGAUAAGCCUGGGAAACUGGGUCUAAUACCGGAUAGGACCAUGCUUUAGUGUGUGUGGUGGAAAGUUUUUUCGGUGUAGGAUGAGCCCGCGGCCUAUCAGCUUGUUGGUGGGGUAAUGGCCUACCAAGGCGGCGACGGGUAGCCGGACUGAGAGGUUGUCGGCACAUUGGGACUGAGAUACGGCCCAG
Molecule: ribosomal RNA, 233 nt
Filed under: uncultured Actinomycetales bacterium
Lineage: Bacteria; Bacillati; Actinomycetota; Actinomycetes; Actinomycetales
Description: partial 16S ribosomal RNA
Rfam family: Bacterial small subunit ribosomal RNA
Source: RNAcentral